Long non-coding RNA from Helianthus annuus (common sunflower), 1750 nucleotides. RefSeq lists it as uncharacterized. The record is from RefSeq and is a predicted model, not a curated record. The transcript is spliced from 2 exons. Lineage: Eukaryota; Viridiplantae; Streptophyta; Magnoliopsida; Asterales; Asteraceae.
CCUACGCCUCUCCUACCCCAUCUCUCCUUUCUCUCUUCCUCUUUCUCUGCAAGAAUCAAACCACCACCACCACUUUAUUUUCUCCACCCUCACCACCAUUCACCACCGUCUUCACAUUUCACCACCACCUUCAGAACCCCUUCUCUAUCUCUAUAAACCAUGGAUUGUUAUUCAAAAAAUCAAAAUGGACACGUGAUAAUGUGAAGCGGUGGAAGGCAGCCCUAAAAGAGGUUGCUAAUUUGAAGAGGAGUGUUGUGUCAGGGUAUGAAACCACCUUUAUUCCAAAUAUUGUUGAAAAAAUUCACUCUCAACUAGGUUUGAAACUCCGACUGGUUUAACUGGAAUAGAGACUCGAGCUGAACGUAUUAAUUCCUGGUUGAAUGAUGAGGGACCUGGUUCUCCUGUUCUAGCUAUCUGUGGUAUGGGAGGAAGUGGCAAGACAACACUUGCCAAACACAUAUUUUACUCAAAUAAGCAUAAGUUUGACAGUAACAGUUUUCUUGAAAACAUUGAAAAUCAAUCUGAUGGCUUGCUUGGUGUGCAGAAACAACUUCUCAAGGAUAUUUCAGGAAAUAAUAAUAUGAUGAUGUCAGAUGUUUUGAGGGAGCUCUUCAGCUUGAGAAGGCCACACGAAUGAAUAAGGUGCUUAUUGUUGUUGAUGACAUUGAUGACAAAGACACACUAAGCACUUUAUUUGGAACAAAGGUGUUUCCCACCCUAAGUAAGAUCAUUAUAACAAGAAGACUUCUAAAAAUAGAUACAUGGUAUGGGUCCAUAUCUCGUGGGUGAAAUGUGGAGAUGGUGGUGAAGGGUGGUGAAGGUGGGGAAGAUGAAGUGGUGGUUGUGGUUUGAUUCUUGCAUACUAAAAGGAGAAAGAGGAAGAGAGAAAGGGGAGAAGGGUAGGGGUAGGAUAAAUUGAUUUAAAUAUAUUUUUUUAUCUUUAAGAUAUUUUUUAAUAACAAGGGUAUUUUAGUAAUUUCACAUCCACUUAACUGAAAAAACUAACCUCCAUCUGCGCCUGGGACUAUCCGGGAACGAAAAUUGAAAAGUUGGGGCCUGUAGAGUUAAUUUUAGAAAGUUAGGGACUAAAGAUGAAAAAAGAUCAAACCACAGGGACUAUCCGAGCAUUUUACUCAUAAUUAAAGUUAAAACCUAAGAGAACCAUUUUUCCUGACUGAUGGAAUAAGGUUAACGAUCAACUUAUUGUACCCGAAGUUCCUCCAUGAAAGCUACGCUAACAACCAUUCAAAAAAACUACUGAAAUAAGAACUAUGGGUUAAAGUCUUGGAAGAUAGAGUACAAGUGCUGGAUUCAUAAAGUAUUGGUCAACAAGUCAACAACAGAGUCAACAAGUCAAAGCUGAAGACCAAAGAUCAGUCAACUUAAAAGACCAAAAGUAUUGGAUUCCAAAAAUGUUGAAAUCUUUCUAGGAGCUUUGGAAUCAACUGUUUUCCUUGUACAGUAUUUCAAUAUAACAGUAGUUUUUACAAUUGUCUGGUUAUUUUGCAAACUGAAGGAAGUUACAUCAUUUAAUAGGUUGUUUAAGGUCACUUUGAUGGUGACGUCACCGAGUAGUCUCCUCUUAUAAAUAGAACUGUACACUAAUGUAAUAGUUAACUUUUACAACUGAAUAUCCUUUGUUUUAGAUAGAGAAAAACUUAAGAAGUAAGAGACAUAGUGCACCUGGUGAGGGGAGUUAUUGUACUUAAAUCAUUGAAUAUAUUGAAUCUUUUGAUAAUCAUUUUCCGAA